CAGUCACGUAGCUUUCUGUUACCCUGGAGGUCCACUCCUCUGUGGUGUAGUGAACAGUCACAGUCACGUAGCUUUCUGUUACCCUGGAGGUCCACUCCUCUGUGGUGUAGUGAACAGUCACAGUCACGUAGCUUUCUGUUACCCUGGAGGUCCACUCCUCUGUGGUGUAGUGAACAGUCACAGUCACGUAGCUUUCUGUUACCCUGGAGGUCCACUCCUCUGUGGUGUAGUGAACAGUCACAGUCACGUAGCUUUCUGUUACCCUGGAGGUCCACUCCUCUGUGGUGUAGUGAACAGUCACAGUCACGUAGCUUUCUGUUACCCUGGAGGUCCACUCCUCUGUGGUGUAGUGAACAGUCACAGUCACGUAGCUUUCUGUUACCCUGGAGGUCCACUCCUCUGUGGUGUAGUGAACAGUCACUCACGUAGCUUUCUGUUACCCUGGAGGUCCACUCCUCUGUGGUGUAGUGAACAGUCACUCACGUAGCUUUCUGUUACCCUGGAGGUCCACUCCUCUGUGGUGUAGUGAACAGUCACGUAGCUUUCUGUUACCCUGGAGGUCCACUCCUCUGUGGUGUAGUGAGCAGUCACAGUCACGUAGCUUUCUGUUACCCUGGAGGUCCACUCCUCUGUGGUGUAGUGAACAGUCACGUAGCUUUCUGUUACCCUGGAGGUCCACUCCUCUGUGGUGUAGUGAACAGUCACGUAGCUUUCUGUUACCCUGGAGGUCCACUCCUCUGUGGUGUAGUGAACAGUCACAGUCACGUAGCUUUCUGUUACCCUGGAGGUCCACUCCUCUGUGGUGUAGUGAACAGUCACAGUCAUGUAGCUUUCUGUUACCCUGGAGGUCCACUCCUCUGUGGUGUAGUGAACAGUCACAGUCAUGUAGCUUUCUGUUACCCUGGAGGUCCACUCCUCUGUGGUGUAGUGAUCAGUCACAGUCACGUAGCUUUCUGUUACCCUGGAGGUCCACUCCUCUGUGGUGUAGUGAACAGUCACGUAGCUUUCUGUUACCCUGGAGGUCUACUCCUCUGUGGUGUAGUGAGCAGUCAGUCACGUAGCUUUCCGUUACCCUGGAGGUCUACUACUCUGUGGUGUAGUGAUCAGUCACGUAGCUUUCUGUUACCCUGGAGGUCCACUCCUCUGUGGUGUAGUGAACAGUCACUCACGUAGCUUUCUGUUACCCUGGAGGUCCACCCGUCUGUGGUGUAGUGAACAGUCAGUCACUUAGCUUUCUGUUACCCUGGAGGUCCACUCCUCUGUGGUGUAGUGAACAGUCAGUCACGUAGCUUUCUGUUACCCUGGAGGUCCACUCCUCUGUGGUGUAGUGAACAGUCAGUCACGUAGCUUUCUGUUACCCUGGAGGUCCACUCCUCUGUGGUGUAGUGAACAGUCAGUCACGUAGCUUUCUGUUACCCUGGAGGUCCACCCGUCUGUGGUGAGGGCAACAGAGGAUGCCUUGGAUAAUUAAUCAACAAUUUUGAUAUGUUCCUGUUCAUGAAGACCUGCCACGAUCUCCAUACUGAAGUGGGUGAGCCAGGGGAUUUCAUAGCAUGACUCGAGCACUUUCACCAUAUUCUUAAACCCUUUGUUUUCCACAACAGAGUAUGGCCUCAUGCCUGCAGCGAUAAACAUCCCAAUACAUUUGGUGAUGGCUUUAGUCCGGUCUGAUUCUGCAGAAAAGGGCUUAAAUGUCGCGGUGAGAAGUUGUCUGGCUGAGUUGGCUCCCGUCACUGACACACCAGGUUGAUGACGCUCCAUGUAUUUCCAUCAUGAUCUUAUGGCUUUCUUGUGACACAAUGCCCACACACCGUAGUGGUGUUGUCCACCAUGCUGCUUCUGACAUCAUAUUUGACAGGGAAGCCAAAAUGCUCCCAUACAUGAGACUUCAAUGAAGCGGGAGGCUUUUCCAGUUCUUCAGCUCUAUUUUUCUUCUUUGCUUUUUGCAACGCGAGCAUCCAGGACUGAUUCGUUGGAUUCAACAGGCCCCGUUCACGUGAGCAGAACACACAACUGCUUUUUAAAAAAUCAUCACAUCAACCUUCAGGCUUCAGAGUAAAACACAGCAUCUGUCUUGUCUUUAUCUU
Molecule: RNA transcript, 2087 nt
Organism: Oncorhynchus keta (chum salmon)
Lineage: Eukaryota; Metazoa; Chordata; Actinopteri; Salmoniformes; Salmonidae
Exons: 8
Source: RefSeq, a predicted model, not a curated record